GUGCUUGCUUCGGCAGCACAUAGACUAAAACUGGAAUGAUACAGAGAAGAUGCACCUGGCCCCACGCACAUUCAUGAAGUGGUUCAUAUUUUU
RNAcentral lists this small nuclear RNA (93 nucleotides) under Tupaia belangeri chinensis (Chinese tree shrew). Lineage: Eukaryota; Metazoa; Chordata; Mammalia; Scandentia; Tupaiidae. The record is from RNAcentral.